AGAGGACUGAAAAUCCUCGUGUCACCAGUUCAAAUA
RNAcentral lists this transfer RNA (36 nucleotides) under Rhystophyllum crispum. RNAcentral describes it as "Exsertotheca crispa partial tRNA-Phe". The record is from RNAcentral. RNAcentral also lists the same sequence under 7 other names. Lineage: Eukaryota; Viridiplantae; Streptophyta; Bryopsida; Hypnales; Neckeraceae.